UACGUAGGGUGCGAGCGUUAAUCGGAAUUACUGGGCGUAAAGCGUGCGCAGGCGGUUCGUUGUGUCUGCUGUGAAAUCCCCGGGCUCAACCUGGGGAUGGCAGUGGAAACUGGCGAGCUUGAGUGUGGCAGAGGGGGGUGGAAUUCCGCGUGUAGCAGUGAAAUGCGUAGAGAUGCGGAGGAACACCGAUGGCGAAGGCAACCCCCUGGGCUGACACUGACGCUCAGGCACGAAAGCUAGGGUAGCGAACGGG
This 253-nucleotide ribosomal RNA is filed under the name uncultured bacterium. Its description in RNAcentral is "partial 16S ribosomal RNA". It matches the Rfam family "Bacterial small subunit ribosomal RNA", at positions 524 to 776 of the family's 1533-position model. The record is from RNAcentral.